UCCUGUCUCAGUUCGUGCUAGUUGAGACCGUCAUCACUGGGGUCCUCACCCCUUCCCUUGACCCCAUGACCUAUUAACCUUGACCUUGUCUUCUUGUCUCAGUUCGUGCUAGUUGAGACCGUCAUCACUGGGGUGUUGGACUGGUUCCCAGACCUCCGGCUCUACAAGAAAAGGUUCGUCUUUCUCACCUGUUUCACCAUGUGUGUCUUGGGCCUGCCUUUGACGUUUGAUGGUGGAGUGGAUGUGCUGGAUCUUAUGGAUACAUACGUCACAGGGUGGAACGUAAUGCUGGUGGCUAUUUGUGAGUGCCUGGCUAUAGCUAUAUAUGGUCCCGAGAGAUUCCUAACGGACAUUGACCUGAUGUUGGGGGGAAAAUUCUGCCGAUGUUGCCGCUUUAACCGGGCCAUCAAGUCGUGGUUUAAAUUCUGUUGGCUCUUCAGCGCCCCCGCCCUC
This is a long non-coding RNA of Physella acuta, 453 nucleotides long. RefSeq lists it as uncharacterized. The record is from RefSeq and is a predicted model, not a curated record. Lineage: Eukaryota; Metazoa; Mollusca; Gastropoda; Physidae.